GAUGAACGCCAGCGGCAGGCUUAAUACAUGCAAGUCGUGGGGCAGCAUGAGUAGCAAUACUUGAUGGCGACCGGCCAACGGGUGCGGAACACGUACACAACCUUCCGAUAAGUGGGGAAUAGCCCAGAGAAAUUUGGAUUAAUACCCCGUAACAUAUAGAGUAGGCAUCUUCUUUAUAUUAUAGCUUCGGCGCUUAUUGAUGGGUGUGCGUCUGAUUAGGUAGUUGGCGGGGUAACGGUCCACCAAGCCUACGAUCAGUAGCUGAUGUGAGAGAAUGAUCAGCCACACGGGCACUGAGACACGGGCCCGACUCCUACGGGAGGCAGCAGUAAGGAAUAUUGGACAAUGGGCGAAAGCCUGAUCCAACCAUGCCGCGUGAAGGAUUAAGGUCCUCUGGAUUGUAAACUUCUUUUAUUUGGGACGAAAAAAGGGAAUUCUUUCCCACUUGACGGUACCAAGUGAAUAAGCACCGGCUAACUCCGUGCCAGCAGCCGCGGUAA
RNAcentral lists this ribosomal RNA (500 nucleotides) under uncultured bacterium. Its description in RNAcentral is "partial 16S ribosomal RNA". It matches the Rfam family "Bacterial small subunit ribosomal RNA", at positions 28 to 523 of the family's 1533-position model. The record is from RNAcentral.